Molecule: long non-coding RNA, 3256 nt
Filed under: Homo sapiens (human)
Lineage: Eukaryota; Metazoa; Chordata; Mammalia; Primates; Hominidae
Description: HSALNT0365899
Source: RNAcentral
GGAGCCCUGGGUGGUGUGUGUGUGCACGCACACAUGUGUAUAUGCAUGCUCACGUGUGUUAGUAAUAGCCUUAUUUUACACAUGAGUAAACUGAAGCUCUGAGAGGUUAUGGGAUUUCUUUGAGGUCAAUAACUAAUAUUAGCACAGAAAUUCAGAAACCAUGAGUCCACCUGAAGCCGGCACCAAAAGUUCUUCACUAAUUCCUUCUGAACUUCCAUUUAGCCGACAUACUGCAUUACCCAGACUUCUCCACUCUCUGGCAGUCAUGGGGACUGACUUCCAUAGUGUGCUGAAUUCCCAGUCUAUGCCAUUUGCUCCCUCUGGCUUACCCAGGUGCUCAUGCGUUUACUAGUUGAGCCAUAUGCUUACCAAGAGUCAGCUGCAUCAUUUCCAAACUCUGUGCUUACCAGGUGUACUUGUUCACUUAAUUACAUAAUUUACCUAAAACCCUCACAAACUGGUACAAUCUGAGUGUAAAAAGAGAAUUGUCAUUUCUAUGAAAACUAAGUAGAAUAUUUUAGAAAUAUUCAAUAUAAUAGCUUGGAAAAAAAAAACCCUCCUGCAGUUGAAUUAAAUAUGGGGGAAAAACCUAGUAGGGAUGGGGAGAAAUCAUAGAGUCUAGAAAUAUUUUAUACUCAGAUAGGUUCACAUUAGGAACCUUCACCCUCAUGCUCGACUUUAAAGAAAUUCAAAGUAGAAAUCAAGAGUGAUACUGUCAGAAUAUUGUCUAUUCAAGGAGACACCAGUUUCCAGUCAGCAGACACAGUCUCAAAGAGAUGGUGUUGACCCAGUGUCAGAAGUCAAACAAAGGUACACGUACACGCUGUGGUAUAUUUACAAGUCUUCUCCAUGGCUGCUUUUGAAACACCAGUGUACUCAGCUUUUUCUUGUAACAAGGUACCUGCUUAUUCUAUUGGAGACGCGUAAAGGGCUUCUAUUCAUUGUUCUGAUUUUAGACUAUUCCCAGUUCCCUACAGCUCCACCCUGCCCAGUUUAGAUUCUAUAACCAUCCAAAAGACCAUCUAUGAUUCAGAACUGGUGAAUGGCUUGCCCCCAUUCCGUCGAUCUCUACAUGACACUAUCAACUGAUAUGCAGUAGGACAUGGAGUGAUUCAUUUAACUCCUCCCCCUGCCUCCAGACCACUGAACUAUCCAUCGUCCAAAAUAUGAGCUCAGUUAAAGCAACAUGGGAAGCAUUGAGGCUUCUACAAUUUGGGUACUGUCCAUUAAAAUAAUACAUCUACAUAUAUCUACACUGAGUGCUCUCAUUAUUUAAACUGGGAAACAAUUAAUGUGUGUAGCUAUCAUUUACAAACCAUUCGGUCUCCGAAUGCUUGCAAUAGAUUUACUCUCAGUGUUACUCUGACCUGGUGACCUAGAAAAUGUCCAAGAGAAGGUAAGUCAUUUAAAGGAGGAAACAAUGCCACUAUCUCCUUUCACACUCAUUGCUGCUUGAAUAAAAGAAGGAAAACGAAGCAUACACCCUCUGCUCUGAGUGCCAGCCAGGCCCCCAGCAAGGAGACCCGGGCUCCCCAGGUGAAGUUCCUUAAAUCUUACAUUGCUGCCCCUCGCCAAGCCCACAGGUAGGUGAAAGCAGUGGGUGGUGGGAAGAAGCGGGAGGAGAAAGUGGGACACAGAUGAAAGGAGCACUUUAUUUGAUAAAAUCGUAAAGAGCAGCUUGUACUGUAGAGCAAGAAUCUCCAAGUAAUAAAUGUCAGGUUUAUGAACAAUUGAGCCUCUCCUUUCCUGACUGAAAUUGCUCUUUGAGGUCAGCUCUGUAAGUGCUCUGUGAGGUGAGGAGGCUGCGCUGCUGAGGGGGUUUGAGGUCGCUGAUGCACCACUGGGAACGGGAAAGGGGGUGUGGGGGUGUGGGGGUAUUGGGUUUGCCCAUUGUGUUAUUAGGGUCUACACUGAAAGAAGUGAUAACUAUGCUGAGUAGUUUUUUUGUAUUUUUUUGUUUUUUGGUUUGUUUGUUGUUUUUUUUUUUUGAGACGGAGUCUCGCUCUGUUGCCCAGGCUGGAGUGCAGUGGUGCGAUCUUGGCUCACUCCAAGUUCCACCUUCCAGGUUCACGCCAUUCUCCUGCCUCAUAUGCUGAGUAGUUUUAAUAAAGAAAAGCAUCCAGACAUCCCCACAAACAAGACUUUGUGACUGGAGCCUCAGUAAGGGGUCACUGAACUCCAGAACCACACUCACUCAACAAGACAAAGUACCUUCCUCAACACCAGGCUGCUGAACCCUCCCAUAGCUCACACACAGCUGCCCAUUGUCAAAAACAAAAGCAAUGAGUGAGAUGGAAUUCUCUUUUCAAUAUCUGCUCCUACCCUCAAAGUAGACGCUGCCUUUGGGUGGGCCAGUCCAGUAGCAUAACCAAGGAAUGUAAAUCCUCAGCAUGUAAAGGCGGGGUGGAAAGAAGCCACAGACACGCAUGUGGGAGACUCGCGCACCCACACCAAAGCUGACUUCGAUGCUUAAAGGUCGAAGCACCGGACCCCUCUUCUUUUAUCUCUGUGGUAGAGACAAACACAACUUACAUCUCAUUUCCUCAUGAUCUACAGUGAAAGAAAGUGAGUGGAAUACAGGUUAUAGGCAUUUACAAGAUUCCAGUCCAUUGAGACCUUGCACAUGGGAACACAACAGCAUCUCUUCAAAUGCAAUUUUGAAGAUGUUCACACAGGCAUCAUGGGGAGAAGACUGGAAGGAAUGCUCUGCACCCUGGGGUUGUGUGCUGAGUGCGACUCUGGGGAAGAAAAUGACUCCACAGCUUAAAUAAAAAUGUUGAAGGCCACUGUGAGCUACAUCUCAAAUGGCCCCCGAGGGAUCUUUUCCAUGGCCUUAGCUCACUUGCAGAAGACAUCUGCAUGGCCCAGCAAGCUCCGCGGAUGCAGAGGCAGAGUGUGAUCAAAGCCCAGCUCAGCUCUCCUCUGGUCGCCGAAUACCUGUCUGGGGCACAUUGGAGAGGAGCAGGGGACCUGACUGUGCCCAUCAAGACAGCGACUGCCAUUUUCUGUGCCUCCAGGACUGGGGUCAUCAUCAGGGCUGUGCAUACAGGACAAAAAGCUCUCAUUUUUCCAUCUGGCAUUCCUCAUCUCUGGAUCGGCAUGGGCAGCAGUAAAUUCCAGGAGAGACCUUAGCCAACCAUCCCCUUUGUUUCCUGAAAGAAGAGAGGUUUAUGUUCUCCUGGAAGGCUGACCAGCAGUAACUUAGGGAAGCCACAGGCCAGCAGCACACUGAAAUGCAGAUGUGAUUAGAUAAACG